AACUUAAUUAAAAGGCCGCAGUAUAUUGACUGUGUUAAGGUAGCGUAAUAAUUAGGUUUUUAAUUAAAAUCUUGAAUGAAUGGUUUAAUAAAAUAAAUGCUUUUUUAAUUAAAAUUAAAAAUUUUAUUUUUAAGUUAAAAAGCUUAAAUUUUUUAAAGGGACGAUAAGACCCUAUAGAAUUUUAUUUAAUUUAUUUUAUUUUUAUAUUUAAUUUAUUAAAUAAAGUUAAAUAAAUUAAAUUUUAUUGGGGUGAUAAUUAAAUUUAUUUAACUUUUAUUAUUUAAUUCAUUUAUAUAUGUAAUUUUGAUCUUUUUUUAUUGAUUAAAAAUUUAAAUUACCUUAGGGAUAACAGCAUAAUUAUUUUAAGAAGUUCUUAUUUUUAAAAUUGUUUAUGACCUCGAUGUUGAAUUAAAUUAAAUAUUUAUAUGAAAAAAUAUAAAAUUUAAGUCUGUUCGACUUUUAAUUAUUUACAUGAUUUGAGUUCAAACCGGUGUGAGCCAGGUCGGUUUCUAUCU
This 515-nucleotide ribosomal RNA is filed under the name Dasineura copacabanensis. RNAcentral's name for it is "partial large subunit ribosomal RNA". The stretch from base 345 to 504 matches the Rfam family "Archaeal large subunit ribosomal RNA", at positions 2542 to 2701 of the family's 2987-position model. The record is from RNAcentral. Lineage: Eukaryota; Metazoa; Arthropoda; Insecta; Diptera; Cecidomyiidae.